This 491-nucleotide long non-coding RNA is filed under the name Gossypium barbadense (sea-island cotton). RNAcentral describes it as "long non-coding RNA (GBAR_LNC018193)". The record is from RNAcentral. Lineage: Eukaryota; Viridiplantae; Streptophyta; Magnoliopsida; Malvales; Malvaceae.
UACGAAAACCCUAAACAAUUAGAUCUGAAACGAAACAGAAAAUUAAAAGAUUAGAUUUUUAAAUUUUCAGAUCUGAAAUAAAAUCCCCAAAACAGUAAAGAAUCAAAUAGAGAAUAGAAAUAAGUGUUAAUAAGGAAUCUUGAAACCCUAGAAGAGAUUGCGAUUCUGCCCAAUUGAACACCCAGAUAGUUUUCUCCAAAUUUCGGCAAUCUAAUUUCUCCCAAAAAAGAGUAUGGAUGAAUCGGCAAGAACCCUAGAAAUUGGGGAUUUUUGGGCUAAUUCCUUAAGAUAGAAAAAGGCUGAAAACACAAUAAGAACAGAAAAUAAAUUAGAUAAAGAUUCGGCACAAGCAGAAAUAAAGAAAGAAUUGACAGUAAGAAAUUAAAAGAUAAGUCCUAAGAAGCCUUGAAAUCUCGAAAGAUCUCACAACUUCCUUCAAACGGCUCUAAUCUCCCCUCCAAAGAAUAUCAAUGGCAAGAAGAAGGUUGAAG